UACAACUUUCAGCAACGGAUCUCUUGGCUCUCGCAUCGAUGAAGAACGCAGCGAAAUGCGAUAAGUAAUGUGAAUUGCAGAAUUCAGUGAAUCAUCGAAUCUUUGAACGCACCUUGCGCUCCUUGGUAUUCCGAGGAGCAUGCCUGUUUGAGUGUCAUUAAAUUCUCAACCUU
RNAcentral lists this ribosomal RNA (173 nucleotides) under Ephemerocybe congregata. RNAcentral describes it as "Coprinellus congregatus 5.8S ribosomal RNA". The stretch from base 4 to 157 matches the Rfam family "5.8S ribosomal RNA". From Rfam's summary of the family: 5.8S ribosomal RNA (5.8S rRNA) is a component of the large subunit of the eukaryotic ribosome. The record is from RNAcentral. Lineage: Eukaryota; Fungi; Basidiomycota; Agaricomycetes; Agaricales; Psathyrellaceae.